RNAcentral lists this ribosomal RNA (303 nucleotides) under uncultured bacterium. RNAcentral's name for it is "partial 16S ribosomal RNA". It matches the Rfam family "Bacterial small subunit ribosomal RNA", at positions 507 to 809 of the family's 1533-position model. The record is from RNAcentral.
AGCAGUAGCCGCGGGAAUACGGAGGGAGCUAGCGUUGUUCGGAAUUACUGGGCGUAAAGCGCGCGUAGGCGGUUACUCAAGUCAGAGGUGAAAGCCCGGGGCUCAACCCCGGAACUGCCUUUGAAACUAGGUGACUAGAAUCUUGGAGAGGUCAGUGGAAUUCCGAGUGUAGAGGUGAAAUUCGUAGAUAUUCGGAAGAACACCAGUGGCGAAGGCGACUGACUGGACAAGUAUUGACGCUGAGGUGCGAAAGCGUGGGGAGCAAACAGGAUUAGAUACCCCAGUAGUCCCUGUCUCUUAUAA